UUCAUACAAUACAUCCAAAAAUAUUAAGAUGAUUAUGGUUAAGAGAUAUCAUAAAUUAAUUGAUGUAUCAGUAUUUGAAAAAGGUAAGAUACUUGGAAUUUGUUAACAAAUAGUAGCAGGUAAAAAUUGUUUCAAUAGUUUCCUACUUCCAAUUAUUAUUUUCACCAUAAAAGGAGAUUGCAAAAUUCGCUUGAACAUGAGGAAUUUGAUGAGAGCAUAGAAUAUCCAAACUAGCAGAAUUAAAAUCCAUUUAUCUUUCCAAAAUCAAGUCUCUUUUCCUAAGUUUAUAUUCCAUGAAAUAUUGUUGGAAACAUUUGGCUAGAUGUUGACAAUAACACGUCACAUUUUUGAACAGUUGCAACUCAACUCUAUGUUAUGUAUAGAUUUAACUUCAUGAUGAUACUUAGCUCUCAUGACUAUAACCCAUAACUUCUCAGGAUUUGCCUCUAGUUUCCAAGCAAGCUUUGCAAUGUAAGCCUUAUUCAGAAUCCUCAGAUUUUGGAAACCUAAACCACAAGCUUUGGAAACUGCAUUUGUUGAAGCAAGUUGGGGUGUUAAAAGGAAAGGGUACUUUAAACCCUCAUCCAAGUUGAUCACAACUGAAAUCCAUUUAUUUGAGCUUUGAAUCAUUGCAUUUUACAAUGUGAAGGUUCUAAGUGUACAUUAGAUCACCCAAAAAAAUAUGAGAUGACGCAUCCUCUUUAUUAUCAAUGUUAUACUGUAUGAGAUGUUUGAUUUUUGUGCUAUGCAAGUAGGGCAUAGAGACUUCCCAAGGAAGAAAUCAAUUCAUAUAGUACAAUUUUGGUGUCAUAUUUUUGAAGAAAUCAUUUUGUGAAUGUGUUUCUUCUAAUCUAAUAGCAUGUCAAAUUUUAAAUUAUAAAGCUUUGGAAGCUGAUUUUGGAUUUGAAUCAUAUACUUUAAAGAAUGGGAGCCUUUUACAGGAAAUGACAACCUCAUUUCUUGGUACUCAACAAAAGCAGAGGUUCCAAUUUUUUGAAGAUUUAUCCUCUUAUCCUAGGAUUUCUCCUAAUUGUAAGCUUUUAUUGAGGUAAUGUGACUACUAGUUCCUAGAUGUAUGCUACUAAUAGAAUUUUUGGUUUUGAACAAUAUAGCCAUCAUUGAA
This is a non-coding RNA of Cicer arietinum (chickpea), 1123 nucleotides long. The record is from RefSeq and is a predicted model, not a curated record. NCBI's taxonomy places the organism in Eukaryota, Viridiplantae, Streptophyta, Magnoliopsida, Fabales, Fabaceae.